RNAcentral lists this small nucleolar RNA (91 nucleotides) under Dasypus novemcinctus (nine-banded armadillo). RNAcentral's name for it is "Small nucleolar RNA SNORD116 (ENSDNOG00000032099.1)". It matches the Rfam family "Small nucleolar RNA SNORD116". From Rfam's summary of the family: HBII-85 is a member of the C/D class of snoRNAs, which contain the C (UGAUGA) and D (CUGA) box motifs. HBII-85 is encoded in a tandemly repeated array with another C/D snoRNA, HBII-52, in the Prader-Willi syndrome (PWS) region of chromosome 15. Lineage: Eukaryota; Metazoa; Chordata; Mammalia; Cingulata; Dasypodidae. The record is from RNAcentral.
GCAUCAAUGAUGACACUCUGAAUGCAUUCCUUGGAACCUGAACAAAAUGAGUGAGAACUCUAUACCGUCUCAUCUCAUCAGGCUGAGGUCC